ACGUGAACAGCUGAACCGAGCUCGCGGCCCGCGUUGUGUAUAGCUGUAAAAUUUGAGAAAUUAGAAGUAAAACAAGCAGUUGAAACUUGAUUUAGUUGUUGUAAUAUACUAUUGUCCGUACUCAAACCCCCAAUCGCGUUUGGACCAAGGACAGGAAUCGUCUGAAGCACAGAUCUGAUUAGGCUGUAUUUUUUUUUUUGGUUCAUAAGUGAUUUUUCUUCAACUAUAACUACUAUAUUUCUUGGUGAGUUGGGUUUUUUUUUGUGUGUUCUUUUCCUCUGUUUUUGUUGUUCCAUCUUCUCUGUUCGUGAUCCUGACACCUGACAUUUGGAGUGUGGAGUUCUAGAAGUCCAAAGUAUUCUUGUUUCUGCCAUCUUGGAGGACAUUCGCUGUUGGUGGAAACUGGCGAGCCGCCCGGUUUUAUGGAACCAAUAUUUCGUGUUGCCCAAUUCAUCUGAUUGGUAGGAAAUUUGAGUUUAUAUUUUCCAUCGUCUAUCGGACACAGGAACGACUGGAAGCUAGAGUCAUAUUUAGUUCUAUUUUUCUGGAACUGAGCUACUAAUCAGUGUUAAAACAAAACACUGCAACGGGUGCAUUAUAUACAUUUGAGUUUAUUGAACUGAACUUGAACAUUUCGCAACCAAACAGGUGA
Danio rerio (zebrafish) is the source of this 652-nucleotide non-coding RNA. Lineage: Eukaryota; Metazoa; Chordata; Actinopteri; Cypriniformes; Danionidae. The record is from Ensembl.